UACAGAGGGGGCAAGCGUUGUUCGGAAUUACUGGGCGUAAAGGGCGCGUAGGCGGCCCACUAAGUCGAACGUGAAAUCCCCGGGCUCAACCCGGGAACUGCGUCCGAUACUGGUGGGCUUGAAUCCGGGAGAGGGAUGCGGAAUUCCAGGUGUAGCGGUGAAAUGCGUAGAUAUCUGGAGGAACACCGGUGGCGAAGGCGGCAUCCUGGACCGGCAUUGACGCUGAGGCGCGAAAGCCAGGGGAGCAAACAGG
RNAcentral lists this ribosomal RNA (253 nucleotides) under uncultured bacterium. RNAcentral's name for it is "partial 16S ribosomal RNA". It matches the Rfam family "Bacterial small subunit ribosomal RNA", at positions 524 to 776 of the family's 1533-position model. The record is from RNAcentral.